RNAcentral lists this ribosomal RNA (270 nucleotides) under uncultured bacterium. RNAcentral's name for it is "partial 16S ribosomal RNA". It matches the Rfam family "Bacterial small subunit ribosomal RNA", at positions 28 to 301 of the family's 1533-position model. The record is from RNAcentral.
GACGAACGCUGGCGGCGUGCUUAACACAUGCAAGUCGAGCGGUAAGGCCCUUCGGGGUACACGAGCGGCGAACGGGUGAGUAACACGUGGGUGACCUGCCUCUAGCUCUGGGAUAAGCCUGGGAAACUGGGUCUAAUACCGGAUAUGACUCCACGGCGCAUGUUGUGGGGUGGAAAGCCUUGUGCGGCUGGAGAUGGGCCCGCGGCCUAUCAGCUUGUUGGUGGGGUGAUGGCCUACCAAGGCGACGACGGGUAGCCGGCCUGAGAGGGC